UUAUUCCAUAUUGGUAUUAUUUUAGUAGGUUUCUCUAUAUGAAUUGGAUUUUGAAUAAAAAAAGCAUAUUCACCUGAGAAAGUGUUAUUCACCGCGCUAAACGUCACGCGCUUUUACAUGCAACGUUAUGGUAAAAUGUUUCAUGUAAAAAAAAAAAUGGUAUAUGUUUGUCAUUAGAUACAUUUUCUGCUCUCGGACUAUGGAAUAAAACAAUUAC
RNAcentral lists this long non-coding RNA (217 nucleotides) under Mytilus galloprovincialis (Mediterranean mussel). Lineage: Eukaryota; Metazoa; Mollusca; Bivalvia; Mytilida; Mytilidae. The record is from RNAcentral.